AGUGAACGCUGGCGGUAGGCCUAACACAUGCAAGUCGAACGGCAGCACAGUAAGAGCUUGCUCUUACGGGUGGCGAGUGGCGGACGGGUGAGGAAUACAUCGGAAUCUACUUUUUCGUGGGGGAUAACGUAGGGAAACUUACGCUAAUACCGCAUACGACCUACGGGUGAAAGCCGGGGAUCUUCGGACCUUGCGCGAUUGAAUGAGCCGAUGUCGGAUUAGCUAGUUGGCGGGGUAAAGGCCCACCAAGGCGACGCUCCGUAGCUGGUCUGAGAGGAUGAUCAGCCACACUGGAACUGAGACACGGUCCAGACUCCUACGGGAGGCAGCAGUGGGGAAUAUUGGACAAUGGGCGCAAGCCUGAUCCAGCCAUACCGCGUGGGUGAAGAAGGCCUUCGGGUUGUAAAGCCCUUUUGUUGGGAAAGAAAAGCAGCAGGUUAAUACCCCGCUGUUCUGACGGUACCCAAAGAAUAAGCACCGGCUAACUUCGUG
Molecule: ribosomal RNA, 492 nt
Filed under: uncultured bacterium
Lineage: Bacteria
Description: partial 16S ribosomal RNA
Rfam family: Bacterial small subunit ribosomal RNA
Source: RNAcentral